GAUGAACGCUGGCGGCGUGCCUAAUACAUGCAAGUCGAGCGAACGGACGCGAAGCUUGCUUUUCUGAUGUUAGCGGCGGACGGGUGAGUAACACGUGGAUAACCUACCUAUAAGACUGGGAUAACUUCGGGAAACCGGAGCUAAUACCGGAUAAUAUUUUGAACCGCAUGGUUCAAAAGUGAAAGACGGUCUUGCUGUCACUUAUAGAUGGAUCCGCGCUGCAUUAGCUAGUUGGUAAGGUAACGGCUUACCAAGGCAACGAUGCAUAGCCGACGUGAGAGGGUGAUCGGCCACACUGGAACUGAGACACGGUCAAGACUCCUACGGGAGGCAGCAGUAGGGAAUCUGCCGCAAUGGGCGAAAGCCUGACGGAGCAACGCCGCGUGAGUGAUGAAGGUCUUCGGAUCGUAAAACUCUGUUAUUAGGGAAGAACAUAUGUGUAAGUAACUGUGCACAUCUUGACGGUACCUAAUCAGAAAGCCACGGCUAACUACGUG
RNAcentral lists this ribosomal RNA (497 nucleotides) under uncultured bacterium. Its description in RNAcentral is "partial 16S ribosomal RNA". It matches the Rfam family "Bacterial small subunit ribosomal RNA", at positions 28 to 507 of the family's 1533-position model. The record is from RNAcentral.